UAGUCCACGCCGUAAACGAUGUCAACUAGCCGUUGGGACCUUGAGGUCUCGGUGGUGCAGCUAACGCGUGAAGUUGACCGCCUGGGGAGUACGGCCGCAAGGCUAAAACUCAAAUGAAUUGACGGGGGCCCGCACAAGCGGUGGAGCAUGUGGUUUAAUUCGAUGCAACGCGAAGAACCUUACCAUCCCUUGACAUCAUCAGAACUUGUUAGAGAUAACUCGGUGCCUUCGGGAACUGAAUGACAGGUGCUGCAUGGCUGUCGUCAGCUCGUGUCGUGAGAUGUUGGGUUAAGUCCCGCAACGAGCGCAACCCUUAUCCUUAGUUGCCAGCACGUUAUGGUGGGAACUCUAAGGAGACUGCCGGUGAUAAACCGGAGGAAGGUGGGGGAUGACGUCAAGUCAUCAUGGCCCUUAUGGGGAUGGGGCUACGCACGUGCUACAAUGGCCAGUACAGAGGGGCAGCGAACUCGCGAGAGCAAGGCAAA
RNAcentral lists this ribosomal RNA (485 nucleotides) under uncultured bacterium. RNAcentral describes it as "bacterial SSU rRNA". It matches the Rfam family "Bacterial small subunit ribosomal RNA", at positions 791 to 1271 of the family's 1533-position model. The record is from RNAcentral.